CCUGCUGAGGAGCGUUGCGUCCCCGGGGUAGAUACGGGGGUCAGGCUCAGCUAAAUUCAACGGCGCUCGCAUCGG
RNAcentral lists this non-coding RNA (75 nucleotides) under Betaproteobacteria bacterium. Its description in RNAcentral is "SAH sequence". It matches the Rfam family "SAH (S-adenosyl-L-homocysteine) riboswitch aptamer". The record is from RNAcentral. Lineage: Bacteria; Pseudomonadati; Pseudomonadota; Betaproteobacteria.